Molecule: ribosomal RNA, 274 nt
Filed under: uncultured bacterium
Lineage: Bacteria
Description: partial 16S ribosomal RNA
Rfam family: Bacterial small subunit ribosomal RNA
Source: RNAcentral
AGACGGAGGUGGCAAGCGUUGCUCGGAUUCAUUGGGUGUAAAGGGUCGGUAGGCGGUUCGAUAAGUGCUCGGUGAAAUCCUGCGGCUUAACCGCAGAACGUUCGGGUAGACUGUCGAACUUGAGGACCGGAGGGGCAGACGGAAUUCCCGGUGUAAGAGUGAAAUCUGUAGAGAUCGGGAGGAACACCAGUGGCGAAGGCGGUCUGCUAGACGGUCCCUGACGCUGAGCGACGAAAGCGUGGGGAGCAAACAGGAUUAGAAACCCCGGUAGUCC